AUAAAGCUGGAGGCCCUGGGGGAUCGCAUUCCUCCCCACAAGUUGACGAUUCAAGAAACGUUGGACUUUCAAAAGCCCUGGUGGCAUGUAAGAGGGAAAGUGAUGGAGGAAACAACGGAGCAAGAAAAGACCCGAGGCCUCAAAAUAAUUUCAAGCAAGGAAGAUGUUAAUUGAAGAAGAAAGAAGUGACAGAGGGAGGAACCGAGCAGGAGAAAAUCUAAGGUCUCGAGGUAAUUUCAAGUCAGGAACAUGUUAAUUGGAGAAGAAUCCGCACACUGGCAAAUGUCUUUUGGAUAAGAAGAUCUGCUUGCACAAUUGGCUGCCAAGGUUAACAUGCUAAAAAAGCAAUUUUAGGCAAAUCAUCGGCAUGACAGAAAGGUGUAAUUAUCAGAAGGAAG
RNAcentral lists this long non-coding RNA (398 nucleotides) under Elaeis guineensis (African oil palm). Its description in RNAcentral is "long non-coding RNA (EGUI_LNC013636)". The record is from RNAcentral. Lineage: Eukaryota; Viridiplantae; Streptophyta; Magnoliopsida; Arecales; Arecaceae.